RNAcentral lists this ribosomal RNA (460 nucleotides) under NC10 bacterium enrichment culture clone FRS1. RNAcentral describes it as "bacterial SSU rRNA". It matches the Rfam family "Bacterial small subunit ribosomal RNA", at positions 977 to 1434 of the family's 1533-position model. Lineage: Bacteria; Methylomirabilota (SeqCode). The record is from RNAcentral.
GGGCUUGACAUCCCACGAACCUGCCCGAAAAGGUGGGGUGCCCGCAAGGGAGCGUGGAGACAGGUGGUGCAUGGCUGUCGUCAGCUCGUGUCGUGAGAUGUUGGGUUAAGUCCCGCAACGAGCGCAACCCUCACCCCUAGUUGCCACCGGGUUAAGCCGAGCACUCAAGGGGAACUGCCAGCGUCAAGCUGGAGGAAGGCGGGGAUGACGUCAAGUCAUCAUGCCCCUUACGCCCUGAGCUACACACGUGCUACAAUGGCCAGUACAAAGGGACGCGAGACUGCGAAGUGGAGCUAAUCCCAAAAAGCUGGUCUAAGUUCAGAUUGCAGUCUGCAACUCGACUGCAUGAAGGAGGAAUCGCUAGUAAUCGCGCAUCAGCACGACGCGGUGAAUACGUUCCCGGGCCUUGUACACACCGCCCGUCACACCACGAAAGCUGUCUGUACUCGAAGUCGCUGAG